CAGCCGUAAACUAUGCGCGUUAGGUGUAUCGGUGACCACGAGUUACCGAGGUGCCGAAGGGAAACCGUGAAACGUGCCGCCUGGGAAGUACGGUCGCAAGGCUGAAACUUAAAGGAAUUGGCGGGGGAGCACCACAACAGGUGGAGCCUGCGGCUUAAUUGGACUCAACGCCGGGAAGCUCACCGGAUAGGACAGCAGAAUGAUUGCCGGGCUGAAGACCCUGCAUGACUAGCUGAGAGGAGGUGCAUGGCGUAGACGUCU
RNAcentral lists this ribosomal RNA (261 nucleotides) under uncultured archaeon. RNAcentral describes it as "partial 16S ribosomal RNA". It matches the Rfam family "Archaeal small subunit ribosomal RNA", at positions 748 to 1009 of the family's 1478-position model. The record is from RNAcentral.